GGGACACGUGAAACCCUGUGGGAAGCAGGAGGGACCACCCUCCAAGGCUAAAUACUACCUAGUGACCGAUAGCGUAUAGUACCGUGAGGGAAAGGUGAAAAGAACCCCGGGAGGGGAGUGAAAUAGAACCUGAAACCCUGCACUUACAAGCUGUGGAAGCACAUUUCUUGUGUGACCGCGUACUUUUUGUAGAACGGGCCAACGAGUUACGUUAAGUAGCAAGGUUAAGCACUUAAGGUGCGGAGCCGUAGCGAAAGCGAGUUUUAACUGAGCGUUCAGUUACUUGACGUAGACCCGAAACCGGGCGACCUACCCAUGAGCAGGAUGAAGCGAAAGUAAAAUUUCGUGGAGGUCCGAACCCACGAGCGUUGAAAAGCUCGGGGAUGACUUGUGGGUAGCGGUGAAAUUCCAAUCGAGCCCGGAGAUAGCUGGUUCUCCCCGAAAUAGCUUUAGGGCUAGCCUCAAGGUGAGAGAUACGGAGGUAGAGCACUGAAUGUCCUAGGGGGU
RNAcentral lists this ribosomal RNA (507 nucleotides) under Clostridioides difficile. Its description in RNAcentral is "partial 23S ribosomal RNA". It matches the Rfam family "Bacterial large subunit ribosomal RNA", at positions 419 to 927 of the family's 2925-position model. The record is from RNAcentral. Lineage: Bacteria; Bacillati; Bacillota; Clostridia; Peptostreptococcales; Peptostreptococcaceae.